CAGACCUUGUAAAAAUGAGAGAGAGGUCUCCAUCUAGACUGGGAAUCCCCGGCCCUGGGGCCAUGGGCUGGUAUCUGUCCGUGGCCUGUUAGGAACCAGGCUGCGCAGCAGGAGGUGAGUGGCUGGAGAGCCAGUGAAGCUUCAUCUGUGUUUACAGCCGCUCCCCAUCACUCGCAUUACUGCCUGAGCUGCACCUCCGGUUGGAUCAGCAGUGGCACUAGAUUCUCAUAGGAGUGCAAACCCUAUUGUGAACUGUACAUGCGAGGGAUUGAGGUUGUGCACUCCUUAUAAGAAUCUAAUGCCUGAUGAUCUGUCGCUGUCUCCCAUAACCCCCAGAUGGGACCAUCUAGUUAUAAGAAAACAAGCUCAGGGUUCCCACUGAUUCUACAUUAUGCUGAGUCAUACCAUUAUUUCAUUAUAUAAUACAAUGUAAUAGUAAUAUAAAUAAAGUGCACAAUAAAUGUAAUCCUCUUGAAUCAUCCCGAAACUAUCUCCCCUCCCUCUGUCCGUGGAAAAGCUAUCUUUACAAAACUGGUCCCUGGUGCAAAAAAGACUGAGGACCACUGAUCCAGACUAGACGCCCAUGGUGGUAACAGCACCAGUUGUGUGAAUUCCACACAAACAAUGAGAAACAUCAAAACAGGACAAGCUGAAGGCAUGGGAAGGACUCUUACAAAUCUUAUUCUUGUUAAGAGCUGUUCACCAAACUGUAGGAGGAGGUCUUUAUUCUUGCAACUCUUUGGACUGGCUCAGUCUGCAGCUUUUAUUAGAAAUCAACGGAAGCCACCAGAACACAGAGCCCUGAAUGAACACUGUGGACCUGGAUCAUCCGACCUGAACUCCAAUGUAGAAGAAAGCCCCUCUGUACGCACCUGCUGACCUGCCUGUCACCACCCUCACAGCUGUGCCGGGACAAUGGCACAGACCCACCCAUUCUAAAGUUACCAUCUGAUAUGUGUGGGCUCAUACAGAAAACAUGCUGUAAUGUGAAGACAUAAAUCAGAUGGAAGAACACAUUGAUGCCAACUUUUUUUUUUUUUUUGAGACAGAGUCUUGCUCUGUCACCCUGCCUGGAGUGCAGUGAUGCGAUCUCGGCUCAAUGCAACCUCUGCCUCCUGGGUUCAAGUGAUUCUCCUGCCUCACCCUCCCGAGUAGCUGGGAUUACAGGUGCCCACCACCAUGCCCAG
RNAcentral lists this long non-coding RNA (1187 nucleotides) under Homo sapiens (human). RNAcentral's name for it is "HSALNT0136070". The record is from RNAcentral. Lineage: Eukaryota; Metazoa; Chordata; Mammalia; Primates; Hominidae.